UAUCUAUUCCUGAAAUCCAUAAUGAUGAAAAUUACUAUAAUUGCAGUAAUUUUGCUACAGGCAUCUCUCAGCCAUUGUAUACGUAGAGACUUCAAAGAUUGCAUACCCGGACCUACGCAAACUUAUGUUAACUGUACCAAUGGAAGCAUAACAGUACAGCACGGAAGAAUUGAAGGCACGCCACCGCCGGUUUGCCAAGGGCUCUAUUGUUGGAAUGGAACCUUGACACC
Rhipicephalus microplus (southern cattle tick) is the source of this 230-nucleotide long non-coding RNA. NCBI's taxonomy places the organism in Eukaryota, Metazoa, Arthropoda, Arachnida, Ixodida, Ixodidae. The record is from RefSeq and is a predicted model, not a curated record.